CCUUCAGUCUAGAGUUGACCGUACCGCAAACCGACACAGGUGGGCAGGAUGAAAAUUCUAAGGCGCUUGAGAGAACUCAGGAGAAGGAACUCGGCAAAUUAACACCGUAACUUCGGGAGAAGGUGUGCCCCGGUAGCGUGUAGAGACUUGCUCUCGAAGCGCGAUGGGGUUGCAGUGAAAUGGUGGCUGCGACUGUUUAAUAAAAACACAGCACUCUGCAAACACGAAAGUGGACGUAUAGGGUGUGACGCCUGCCCGGUGCCGGAAGGUUAAGUGAUGGGGUGCAAGCUCUUGAUCGAAGCCCCGGUAAACGGCGGCCGUAACAAUAACGGUCCUAAGGUAGCGAAAUUCCUUGUCGGGUAAGUUCCGACCUGCACGAAUGGCGUAACGAUGGCCACACUGUCUCCUCCUGGGACUCAGCGAAGUUGAAAUGUUUGUGAAGAUGCAAUCUACCCGCGGCUAGACGGAAAGACCCCAUGAACCUUUACUGUAGCUUUGCAUUGGACUUUGAACCGGUUUGUGUAGGAUAGGUGGGAGACUGUGAAGCCGGGACGCUAGUUUCGGUGGAGUCAACCUUGAAAUACCACCCUGAUUUGUUUGAGGUUCUAACCUUGGUCCGUGAAUCCGGAUCGGGGACCGUGCAUGGUAGGCAGUUUGACUGGGGCGGUCUCCUCCCAAAAGGUAACGGAGGAGUACGAAGGUACGCUUAGGGCGGUCGGACAUCGCCCACAAAGUGCAAUGGCAAAAGCGUGCUUGACUGCGAGACCCACAAGUCGAGCAGGUACGAAAGUAGGUCAUAGUGACCCGGUGGUUCUGUAUGGAAGGGCCAUCGCUCAACGGAUAAAAGGUACUCUGGGGAUAACAGGCUAAUUCCUCCCAAGAGUUCAUAUCGACGGGGGAGUUUGGCACCUCGAUGUCGGCUCAUCACAUCCUGGGGCUGUAGUCGGUCCCAAGGGUAUGGCUGUUCGCCUUUUAAAGUGGUACGCGAGCUGGGUUUAAAACGUCGUGAGACAGUUUGGUCCCUAUCUGCCGUGGGCGCUGGAAAUUUGAAGGGGGUUGCUCCUAGUACGAGAGGACCGGAGUGGACGAACCUCUGGUGUACCGGUUAUGACGCCAGUCGUAUCGCCGGAUAGCUAAGUUCGGAAGAGAUAAACGCUGAAAGCAUCUAAGUGUGAAACUCGCCUUAAGAUAAGAUUUCCCGGAGUCUUGAACUCCCUGAAGGGUCGUCGAAGACCACGACGUUGAUAGGUCAGGUGUGGAAGCGCAGCAAUGCGUUAAGCUAACUGAUACUAAUUGCCCGUGCGGCUUGAUCCU
RNAcentral lists this ribosomal RNA (1314 nucleotides) under metagenome. RNAcentral describes it as "bacterial LSU rRNA". It matches the Rfam family "Bacterial large subunit ribosomal RNA", at positions 1624 to 2925 of the family's 2925-position model. The record is from RNAcentral.